AUUGUAAAGAUGAGCAAAAGAAUAUCAGUUAGCCGAACAGCAUAUACUCUGGCUUAAAACAUUCGAAUUUAACAAUUCGUAGGUGCUUUGCCGUGAAUAGGAAGUCAAGUCAGCUCUGCAUGAUGGAGGAAACACGCUCGACAAAUAGAGAUAACUUCAUGAAGUUGGGGAAGAAAGCUGGAAGAGCAGGUUGAUCGAACAGGUUCAUUCGCAGUGGAGUUGAGUCUAUGAAACAGUGGAGGACAGGUCCCAAACCAACUGUUUCAAUAGCGAUUAAACAAAUGAGUUGGCUCCUUCGUUUGUUCGGUUCCAGAUGUUUUCGGGUGGCUUGUCGAUCGGCAGCGGGUUAAAUGGAUUGUAGUUGGUACCCUGUCUCAGGGUCUAGCGUAAUAUUUGCUAGCAAACAAAAAGGCGAACAGAACAAUCGAAAUACUUGAAGGCUCCCCAAAAAAAAAGAAAGAAAACCUAAACUCGUGACUUAACAAGGCCAAGAAGCUAAAAUGGAGGGGAAUGACGAUGGAUUUGUAUGGAUGAUGAAUGGCGAGAGCAGCAAUUGUGCAACCAUUUCCACACCAUCAGCGGGAAAUCCAUCAGGUUGGAUUAGAAUAGUAUUUCUACCAUGACAAAAAUUUGCCACCCUUUUACAGCGCAAAAAGGAAUAAAUAACAGUUCUUUUACAGAUAAUGAACAUGAGGACUAAGUUUGAAGGAUAUUUUAAAUGAAAUAAAGAUUACAACUUGUUAUGAGAA
This is a long non-coding RNA of Drosophila erecta, 749 nucleotides long. RefSeq lists it as uncharacterized. The record is from RefSeq and is a predicted model, not a curated record. The transcript has 2 exons. Lineage: Eukaryota; Metazoa; Arthropoda; Insecta; Diptera; Drosophilidae.